Danio rerio (zebrafish) is the source of this 74-nucleotide non-coding RNA. The record is from Rfam. Lineage: Eukaryota; Metazoa; Chordata; Actinopteri; Cypriniformes; Danionidae.
GGCGCUGUGGCUUAGUUGGUCAAAGCGCCUGACUCAUAAACAGGAGAUCCUGGGUUUAAAUCCCAACAGUGCCC